AUGUACCCCUCAAAAUACAUUAACUUUGGUGAGAAGAAAAAGGUUGCACUUUUACUUGAAAUUACGUACAUGCAUUUUGAUGCUUUGCAUGGUUUCGGAAAAGAUCAAGCAAAGGAUCAUCGAAUGUAUCCAUGCAUGUUGGUUAGCCAGGGAAACAUAUCAGUACAGGACUCCGGCGCGUACAAAUAUUUUGGAGGUCUCGGUUUGCAUUUUAUUGGUGCACGAGAAGAUUCCUAUUUCCUAGGAGAUGCUCAUGGAGAUGCAAGUAAAAUCCAAAUAGAUUUCCUCUUUAUAUUUUUACCAGAGAAGGUGCAUCACCGUGGCAAAUUCUGGAGGAGGUUACGUGAGUUGUUCUCAUUAAAAAAUACAGGUUGGGGUCCACCACCAGAAUUAUUUUGUUUGAUACUUGUCGAGAUGUAG
RNAcentral lists this ribosomal RNA (420 nucleotides) under Triticum aestivum (bread wheat). RNAcentral's name for it is "partial small subunit ribosomal RNA". Lineage: Eukaryota; Viridiplantae; Streptophyta; Magnoliopsida; Poales; Poaceae. The record is from RNAcentral.